RNAcentral lists this ribosomal RNA (443 nucleotides) under uncultured bacterium. RNAcentral describes it as "partial 16S ribosomal RNA". It matches the Rfam family "Bacterial small subunit ribosomal RNA", at positions 338 to 795 of the family's 1533-position model. The record is from RNAcentral.
CCUACGGGAGGCAGCAGUGGGGAAUAUUGGACAAUGGGGGGAACCCUGAUCCAGCGACGCCGCGUGAGUGAAGAAGUAUUUCGGUAUGUAAAGCUCUAUCAGCAGGGAAGAAAGAAAUGACGGUACCUGACUAAGAAGCCCCGGCUAACUACGUGCCAGCAGCCGCGGGAAUACGUAGGGGGCAAGCGUUAUCCGGAUUUACUGGGGGUAAAGGGAGCGUAGACGGCGAUGCAAGUCUGAAGUGAAAGGCGGGGGCCCAACCCCCGGACUGCUUUGGAAACUGUAUGGCUGGAGUGCAGGAGAGGUAAGUGGAAUUCGUGGGGUAGCGGUGAAAUGCGUAGAUAUUAGGAGGAACACCAGUGGCGAAGGCGGCUUACUGGACUGUAACUGACGUUGAGGCUCGAAAGCGUGGGGAGCGAACAGGAUUAGAUACCCGAGUAGUC